GCGCGAAAACUUUACAAUGCUGGCAACAGCGAUAAGGGAACCUCGAGUGCCAGGUUACAAAUCUGGCUGUCGAGAUGCCUAAAAGCAUUUCAUAGCAAGGGCCGGGCAAGACCGGUGCCAGCCGCCGCGGUAACACCGGCGGCUCGAGUGGUAACCGUUAUUAUUGGGUCUAAAGGGUCUGUAGCCGGCCGGAUAAGUCUCUUGAGAAAUCUGGCAGCUUAACUGUCAGGCUUUCAGGAGAUACUGUCUGGCUCGAGGCCGGGAGAGGUGAGAGAUACUUCAGGGGUAGGGGUGAAAUCUUGUAAUCCUUGAAGGACCACCAGUGGCGGAGGCGUCUCACCAGAACGGACCUGACGGCAAGGGACGAAAGCUAGGGGCACGAACC
RNAcentral lists this ribosomal RNA (385 nucleotides) under uncultured prokaryote. RNAcentral describes it as "bacterial SSU rRNA". It matches the Rfam family "Archaeal small subunit ribosomal RNA", at positions 339 to 725 of the family's 1478-position model. The record is from RNAcentral.